Long non-coding RNA from Populus euphratica (Euphrates poplar), 3137 nucleotides. RefSeq lists it as uncharacterized. The record is from RefSeq and is a predicted model, not a curated record. The transcript has 5 exons. NCBI's taxonomy places the organism in Eukaryota, Viridiplantae, Streptophyta, Magnoliopsida, Malpighiales, Salicaceae.
GAGGUGCUUCGGCGGUGAAAGGAUCUGAUCAUCCGCAUGGGACGAGUUGAUUCCGGGAUCGAAUUAUAAUGUUGCUCCAAGUUGUAGUUUGAGCCACUCACACGCACAGAAGUAACCCUUAGUGAUUUGGUAGUUCUUGGUUGGUGGGACUUGGUUUCAAAUUACAGAAUCGAACGACUCUCCUUACAGCAUUGCAGAGCGCUUUGCCUUUCUAGUCUGCACAAAGUGGUAUAAUCAAGUAAUUCAUAAGCAUUCUUGAUUUCUUUUAAUGGAGGACCAAGUUCAUCAUGAAGAAGAGCAUCAGAUCAAUGGAAUAUGCAGCCCUCAGGACAUCGGUGGACACUUAUGAAAGCUCCUGUUAUUGGUUUCCAGAUCUUGCUUUUCAUGCGCUUGGAGGGAACAUCACCUGGUGCUGAACAUAUUCCAUGUCUAAUCCUUUGCUCCACCUUUUUUGAUCCAAGGAGCUGGGGUUUUGCUGUAUAUAGAUUGGUGGAGAAAACUAAACAGUGGAGCUUGUUCUGGUAGAUACUUUGCCGUCACAUCAAAUGCUCAAGAUUAUUUUGGAUUUUUGCACAAUGGAUCCAGGUAAGGUUUUUCUUGGUGCACAUAAAAUUUGAAUGGCCCGGUGAACCAGUAAUUGCCAGCACUGAAUUGCUGGAUUUAUGAAGCAGUAAUCAUUGCUUAUGACAGGUUACUCGGGUGAUGGUCAAUCGAUGAAGGUAGUGGGAAGGAGUGGGCUAGAAUUUAUUGUGCUGGAGGUUCAGGGUAUGUUUUCUAUGCUACUCUAGUGUCUUUUUAAUAGAAUUUUUUACAUUCAUUGGCGCAACCAGAGAGGCAUAAUAAUUUCUCUGAAGUUUCCAAGGACAUCUAUGUCCAUUAUUGCCUGUCCUUCCUUUUACCUUAUAGGUCUUGAGAUGAAAUCAUUGAAACCCCAUUUAAUAUAUUCAGAGUGGCAUCAUAAACGGGACACACUUUGUAUAACAUGAACAAACUGGACAUGCACACACAUAUCUCGAGAUAAUGGAGGAUAUGGUCGUGAAAUAUGCAAAAAGAAUGAGGAGAAAUUGCAUUAGCAAUUGUUUUAUGAACAGCACAGUCACGAGGAGUACAGAAGAUAUCUGUUGCAUACAUUCUCUUGUUGCUGGCUAGUUAAAUGUCGAGAGCACUUACAGUGUUUUAACUUUUAAGGGUUUGCUAGGCAGUUAAAUUCUAACUCCUACUCUCACGGGUCUUUUCCUCUUCCGGCCUUUCAAGGUUUCAAAAUGUGCAUUGGUAUGUCAAAGGAUAUGUUGGUCCAACCAAUCGACUUUUGGUAUCAGUGCUCUGUAUUAUGCUAUGGUAAUGAAUGCUUUCAUCUGUGGCGCAAUAGGAUUGGAAGGUCCCAUUCCAUCAUCUGGUGUUACGGGGCCAUGAUCCUGGAAUCACACCAUUACACUCGAAAAUAUUCAAAUCUUUUAAGGGUUUUUUCUUACUAAAGAUUGCUACAAUCUCUUCUUUUGUGCAUUAUUAUGCUAGAUUACUAAAAUGCUGAUCACAUACUAAGAUAACACACACCGCAUUUUUCAUUCAUACGAGGUAUUUAUUCGAUUAAAGGUUUGUUGUUGCCAUUUGUAGUAAAACCAUUUAAAAUCUGUAUGUAGAAGACAAUUUGCUAAAAUCUGUCAACGUGUGGUUGCGGAGCUUGGUGGUGAAUAAUGUGUAUGGUGGGGGGUGGGUGGCUGGGAGGGUUGUCCCUUCCCAUACCAAACCACCACCGCAGGUAUAGUCGUCCCACAACUACCCAAGCCCUGUCAAUCAUUCUUUGUGACCAUUAUGUGACACCUUCAAAAUUACACUUGCAACUGUGACUAAAACCAUGAGUGCAUUUUCCAUGCAGGCAAAUUCUGCACUGCCCUUUGCCAAAGUUUUGAAGGCACCGCCUUUAUACUAGUUCAGAUUCAACCAGAUGUCAACUGACAUUCGGUCACAAGCACUGUUUGACCAUGGAAAAUUGGCUUGGCCUAAUGUCAGCCAUGAGCUGCCAGCGUUCAGGUCACCCCUAACUAAAUGCUGGUCACUCUUGACUGACAUCCAUAUAAAGGCCGGUGCCUUUUCUCACUAGAGAAGCUAUCUUGCCUUGCAAUUUCUUAAUAUAAUUUGUGCUUCCAGUAGAUAAUUAAUAUAGUGCACUGUACAUACUGUGCAUACUUUCUUUGUAGAUCACAGAAGUUAUUGCAAGUUAUAACUUUUAUAACCAUUCCUUCUAUCUUUAUUACUCAGCUACAACACCUUCCCAGCAGAAAUUGUGAAGAAGCAGCCCAAAUCUGAACUUGUUCAUGAGGUUCAAACAGUUUUGCCUGUUCAACAAGGCCCAAGUUUUAGAUUGUUUGUAUCUAUCCACACUCUGCAACUUAAUUCUGCUCUUUCUUCAUAAAAAAUACAACUUUAACUCCUCAUUUCUUUUUUAUCAUCAUAUUCGGAGAUUACAAGCUUUACUCAUUGAGCAAACAGAAAUUAUAGAAUUUAGCCAGAAGUAUAAAAGGCUUCAAUUAGUUUUCAGAACAGCCUAGUUGUCUUCUAUGCUCACACUAAUCUUUGUGAUGCCAUUCAUGCUCUCAAUGCUGUAUUAUGGCUUUCCCUGUGCUGAUUUAAUGAAUCUAUCAGGACAAAAUUCUAUGUAGAAUUUGUUUCAAAGGACAAAUUAAUGUGGUCCUGCUUCCAUGCAGGCACCGUGCCCUUUUCAGGUAUGGGGAUCCACCUUUCUCUUACCAAUAUUUGCUGAUACUUCAAACAGUACACUUCUCUGAAUGAAAAAUAAAAGAACUAAGUUUAUUGAUGAGAAAGCUUUUCAUUGAGGGUGAAGCUUUGCCUUCAAAAUUGUUAUUCAUGCCUUGCACAGAAGAGUAAAAGUUGCCCAAUCUACCUCGUCACCAAUGAGGUGCAGUUGUCUGUAUAUGAUGUGUAGUUCCAAUUGUAUCCAUGACAUGUGUAUAUGUGAAGGAAAGAUCCCUUGCUGCUUGUGGUUUUAGAUGGAGCACGCACUGAGAAUCUACAAUUUUGGCGUCUUCGAUUCCCAUGUCACAGUAGUUUUGUAUCAUUUUCCAGGAACUGUAAAUAUUCUGACAGAUUUGAUGAGCUAUGAAAGCACAUUUUUUAUA